ACAGCGAGACGGGCGGUGGGGCUGAGCCGAGGCCCAGGAACGGAGGUGGAGGAGCAGACCCGGGCGACGCGGCCCGCGAGCGAGAGGGUCGUCCGGGUCAGUCCAGCGCAACUCGGGUCACCAGUCCCAGGGCCCUGGUCCCCUUAUUGGAUCUAUGUCUGGGUUUGCUGAAGCACCCGCUGGGCCCAGGACUGCAGAGACGCCCCUACCCAGGCUGUGCCCCGGGUGGAGGGGGACAGGGGGAAUGGCUUCAUCGCGGGGUUCGGGGCAGGACAGCUCAGGACCUGCGGAGAUACUGGAUGGUGUAGGAUCCCAGGCCAAAGGUGGCGCACCCUGAGAUCAGCAGCCCAGCUCCCUGCAGCCUUGAGGAGGGCGCUGCCUGCGUCUUUGGGAGCCUCAGCUUCCCCUCCGGUUCCGGGCCUUGGAGUGCUGGUCUGCAGCUGCGGCCUGGCUCUGUGCCCGGCCUGACCCUCGUUCACACUGCACACCCCUGGAGGCAGGACAGAAAGUGUGCACAGCGAAGACCCUGACACCCUACUGGUUGAUGAUCCAAAUCCCGAGGUCCCUCUCAGAGUCCGGUGAGAUCCAGAGCCAGCUAGAGGAAGAAAGUGGCCGCGUCAGCUCCCGAAAGGCCGUCUGGGUGAGGUUGAAAGGAAAAGCCAACAGGAGUUCCCAUCGUGGGGCUUCGGAAACAAUCCGACCAGGAACCAUGAGGUUGCGGUUUCCAUCCCUGGCCUGGCUCAGUGGAUUAAGGAUCCGGUGUCUCUGUGGCUAUGGUGUAGGCCGGCAGCCGUAGCUCCCAUUCGACCAGCAGGCUCUCGGGUCCACCUCCUCUCCCCGUGGUCCUGUGCUGCCUCUUCCUACCCUGCUCCUCAGCAGCUCAGUGCAACUCUCCUGUCCCCCGCAUCCUCCCUGGUCGCACGCAGAGAGCAUCUGUGCAAAGACAACAGACGCGGCCACCCAGACCCUUUAGCUCACAGAGGAUGCCCUGAACGGACUCCCAGGGAGCCUACAGAAGACCACGGACUUGAGAAGGCACUGUGAACUGCUUGGUAGCAUCUGCAAGAUGGGGUUUGGUUUCAGGUCUGUGUCCUGCCCGCCACCCUCAGGCCCCGGUGGGCUCAGGAGGGCCUUGGGCACAGCCCGAGGGGCCUCGACCCUCAUACAGUGCAGAGCAAAGUCAGAGAUGGGUGGAGGCAGCUGCUGCUCCGGGUGGGAGCUGAUGACAUCCCGCCUGUCGUGUAGACAUUUGAGUUAACUGGCCCUGGGGUUGCCAAUAAUCUCAGUCAGGUCGAAGCCUCCACUCGGAGACGUUUGGGGCAGAAACCUGCUGAUUUACCCCUUGUUUUAACUCUUGGGGAACAAGGGGAUUGCUGACCGCUCCCACUGGCAGGGAGCAGGGAGUGGAAAGAGAACAGCCCUCGAGGGAGAGGCCAAGGAGCCCGUCUGCUCUGGCUCUGCACCGUCCAGCACAGUGGCCUCAGCCUGUCCCAACUGCGAUGUGCGAAUGUGCACAAGAAACACCUGAUUUCAAAGACGUUGAAAAAAAUGCCAAAUAUCUUUCUAAUAAUUUUAUAUUGAUUGCCUCUGGAAAUUAUGUUUUAGAUGUGUUAAGGUAAAUAAAAUAUAUUAUUAAAUUU
This 1640-nucleotide long non-coding RNA is filed under the name Sus scrofa (pig). Its description in RNAcentral is "lncRNA (ENSSSCG00040043732.1)". Lineage: Eukaryota; Metazoa; Chordata; Mammalia; Artiodactyla; Suidae. The record is from RNAcentral.